AUGACGGGUGUGGUAUCUCAUGCUGUCCUGCUCGUUGGCGUCGUGCUCCUGACGGGGCAGAUGUGCGGGUGCACGGCGGACGCCGGCCGUGGCGACGGUUUUAGCGUCGAGCUCAUCCACCGUGACCACUCCGUCAAGUCGCCGUUCCACGACCCGUCGCUCACCCCGCAUGGCCGCAUGCUCGCGGCCGUGCGGCGUUCCACGGGGCGCGCCGCGGCACUGGCACGCUCGUACGCUGCCACCGCCGGCACUGGCUCUCCUGACGGCGGCGUUGCUGAGGUCAUCUCCAUCCCGCCGUUCGACUUCCUCAUGUACGUCAACAUCGGGUUGCCGCCUACACGGAUGCUCGUCUAUGCCGACACCGGCAGCGACCUCCUGUGGGUCAAAUGCGGCAACGACGGCACCACCGAUCUUCCCAAAGCCGCCGGGGGAGCGCCGCCGAGGGUCGUGUUCAACCCGUCCAAGUCGUCGACGUUCGGCCGCGUGAACUGCAAGUCCGGCACGUGCCACGCGUUCACCGGCACCGGCGUCUCCUGCGACGCUAAAUCCAACUGCAAGUACGUUUACUCCUACGGCGACGGCUCCGAGACUAGCGGCGUCCUCUCCACGGAGACCUUGACCUUCGACGACGCCCCUGGCGGCUGCGUCGGGUGCCCCGGCCGUCCGCAGCUGCAAGUGGCCAAUUUCAACUUCGGCUGCUCCACGUCCACGAAAGGCGCCUUCACAGGGGAUGGACUCGUUGGGCUCGGCGACGGGAAAUUCUCCCUCGCCAACCAGCUCGGUGCCGCCACGUCGAUCGGCCGGAGGUUCUCCUACUGCCUCGUGCCCUCCUUCGUGAACACCCCGUCAAUCCUCAACUUCGGCGCCCGCGCUGCCGUGACGGAGCCGGGCGCAGUAACCACGCCGCUGCUCCACCCCGACGUCGACGCAUACCUCACCAUCGCGCUCGAGUCCGUCAGGAUCGGGGACAGGAGCUUCACGUUGCCGCAGCGGGCCCGCAUCAUCGUGGACUCUGGCACGACGCUGACGUUACUUGUCAAGGAGCUGCUGGACCCGAUGGUGGAGGAGCUGACCCGGAGUAUCAAGCUCCGGCGGGUGAAGUCACCGGACGAGGAUUUACCUAUUUGCUACGAUGUGUCCGGGGUGGGGGAGACGGCGUUCGGGAAGAUUGUCCCGGAGGUGAAGCUGGGCCUGGGAGGCGGUGGGGUGGUGACGCUCAAGGCGGAGAACACGUUCGUGAUGCUGCGGGAGGGGACGAUGUGCAUGGCUUUGAUGGAGGCCCACAAGGAAGAUGGGGGCAUGAUCUGGGGGAACAUCGCCCAGCAGAACAUGCACAUCGGGAUCGACCUCGACAAGCGCACCGCCACCUUCGCCAGUGUAGACUGUGCUACCUCCUAUCCAUGGCCCACCCCUCCGUCGGCCUCUCUGUAG
RNAcentral lists this ribosomal RNA (1431 nucleotides) under Triticum aestivum (bread wheat). RNAcentral's name for it is "partial small subunit ribosomal RNA". Lineage: Eukaryota; Viridiplantae; Streptophyta; Magnoliopsida; Poales; Poaceae. The record is from RNAcentral.